This 478-nucleotide ribosomal RNA is filed under the name uncultured bacterium. RNAcentral's name for it is "partial 16S ribosomal RNA". It matches the Rfam family "Bacterial small subunit ribosomal RNA", at positions 28 to 507 of the family's 1533-position model. The record is from RNAcentral.
GACGAACGCUGGCGGCGUGCUUAACACAUGCAAGUCGAACGGGAUUUCGUAAACAGAAACCUCGGUGGAAGAUUACUAAUGAGAGUGGCGAACGGGUGAGUAACGCGUGAGCAACCUGCCUAUGACAGUGGGAUAGCCUCGGGAAACCGGGAUUAAUACCGCAUAAAAUCGUAGAAACACAUGUUUUAACGGUCAAAGAUUUAUCGGUCAUAGAUGGGCUCGCGUCUGAUUAGCUAGUUGGUGAGAUAACAGCCCACCAAGGCGACGAUCAGUAGCCGGUCUGAGAGGAUGAACGGCCACAUUGGAACUGAGACACGGUCCAAACUCCUACGGGAAGCAGCAGUGGGGAAUAUUGCACAAUGGGGGAAACCCUGAUGCAGCGACGCCGCGUGAACGAAGAAGGUAUUCGUAUCGUAAAGUUCUGUCCUAUGGGAAGAUAAUGACAGUACCAUAGAAGAAAGCUCCGGCUAAAUACGUG